CACGCAGACCGCCUUAUCGUCGUUUCGAUUUAUCGGAAGGGAGGAAAGUCCGGACACCAAAGAGAAGUAUAGCGGGUAACGCCCGUCACUCUGCCUCGUUUUUAGGAACGAGAUGGGGGAGGACAAGUGCAACAGAAAGUAUGUACAGGUUAAGCUGUAGUGAAACCAGGUAAACUCUAUGCGGUGAAAUUUCAAGUAUAUCAGCAUUUAAGGGUUUCUCGUCCGUUGCUGAAGGGUAGAAAGAUGGAUUCCAAGAGUAAUUUUGGAACUAGAUAAAUGAUAAGGGCUCCGAUUUAUCGGAGUACAGAAUCCGGCUUAUAGGUCUGCAUUUUUU
Molecule: RNase P RNA, 334 nt
Filed under: Flavobacterium bernardetii
Lineage: Bacteria; Pseudomonadati; Bacteroidota; Flavobacteriia; Flavobacteriales; Flavobacteriaceae
Description: RNase P RNA component class A
Rfam family: Bacterial RNase P class A
About the family: Ribonuclease P (RNase P) is a ubiquitous endoribonuclease, found in archaea, bacteria and eukarya as well as chloroplasts and mitochondria. Its best characterised activity is the generation of mature 5'-ends of tRNAs by cleaving the 5'-leader elements of precursor-tRNAs.
Source: RNAcentral